GAUGAACGCUGGCGGCGUGCCUAAUACAUGCAAGUCGAGCGAACAGACGAGGAGCUUGCUCCUCUGACGUUAGCGGCGGACGGGUGAGUAACACGUGGAUAACCUACCUAUAAGACUGGGAUAACUUCGGGAAACCGGAGCUAAUACCGGAUAAUAUAUUGAACCGCAUGGUUCAAUAGUGAAAGGCGGUUUUGCUGUCACUUAUAGAUGGAUCCGCGCCGCAUUAGCUAGUUGGUAAGGUAACGGCUUACCAAGGCAACGAUGCGUAGCCGACCUGAGAGGGUGAUCGGCCACACUGGAACUGAGACACGGUCCAGACUCCUACGGGAGGCAGCAGUAGGGAAUCUUCCGCAAUGGGCGAAAGCUUGACGGAGUAACGCCGCGUGAGUGAUGAAGGUCUUCGGAUCGUAAAACUCUGUUAUUAGGGAAGAACAAAUGUGUAAGUAACUAUGCACGUCUUGACGGUACCUAAUCAGAAAGCCACGGCUAACUACGUG
This 497-nucleotide ribosomal RNA is filed under the name uncultured bacterium. RNAcentral describes it as "partial 16S ribosomal RNA". It matches the Rfam family "Bacterial small subunit ribosomal RNA", at positions 28 to 507 of the family's 1533-position model. The record is from RNAcentral.